Molecule: ribosomal RNA, 441 nt
Filed under: uncultured bacterium
Lineage: Bacteria
Description: partial 16S ribosomal RNA
Rfam family: Bacterial small subunit ribosomal RNA
Source: RNAcentral
CCUACGGGGGGCAGCAGUGGGGGAUAUUGCACAAUGGGGGGAACCCUGAUGCAGCGACGCCGCGUGGGUGAAGGAGCGUUUCGGCGCGUAAAGCCCUAUCGGCAGGGAAGAAGGAGGACGGUACCUGACUAAGAAGCCCCGGCUAACUACGUGCCAGCAGCCGCGGUAAUACGUAGGGGGCAAGCGUUAUCCGGAUUUACUGGGUGUAAAGGGAGCGUAGACGGUUAUGCAAGUCUGAAGUGAAAGCCCAAGGCUCAACCAUGGGACUGCUUUGGAAACUGUAAAACUGGAGUGCAGGAGAGGUAAGCGGAAUUCCUAGUGUAGCGGUGAAAUGCGUAGAUAUUAGGAGGAACACCAGUGGCGAAGGCGGCUUACUGGACUGUAACUGACGUUGAGGCUCGAAGGCGUGGGGAGCAAACAGGAUUAGAUACCCUGGUAGUC